GUUUUUCUUUCACAUUGUUGAUACGAUACCAGCUUCACGCAUUGGCUGAAUUUCUUAUCUCCGGAUUAAGUAUGCUGGUCUAUAUAAUUGAUCUAAAUAACUGAUGCCACUGGUGACUUUGUUUCUGUGUAGAGGUGUUGUCGAUGGCCAACUGGCCAUUGUUAUUUAAAGUACUCGUCCCAGAUGCUCCAACGGGUUAACCGUGAUGAGCUUACUACUCGAACAUACUGGCAUGAUGGGGAACAAAACACAUUGUACGUGGGUCGCGCCAUUGUCUUCCAGUAUUAAGCUGGUCACGGAUCACGGAUUGGUGCACCGGGGCCGAAACCUGAAUUUUUAUGUACGUCAAAACGUAGAAGAUUCCAUUUGUGAUGUGUGGCAAUGGUGCAUGGUCUUCCGGUAUAUCUUUUGCAUCCAUCAGCUGAGAGCCAGACCGAUAUUCUGAGUGGUAAGGAUUUACGAGGUAUUCUCGCCAUCGUUGGGUUACUGAUAAUGAAGAUAAUCCGAAAGAAAUAUCGUGGAAGAGAGCUUUUGAGAGAUGAUUUUGAUUUUGCCUUGGUAUGUGAAUCAGUGUGGAACCAACCUGUUCAGUUUUAUCAGCUUGCUUCUCCUGGACUGUAACCCAAAGCCUGAAAGAUAGUUUAGAUUGAUCUAGUGGCAGUGGUGGGGAAAUUAAAUGUACAGUAUGUAUUGGCAAAAAAUCAAGAGAAAUCACGCAAGAGAAAAUGUUUGCCAGAAAAAAGCUAUUCAUUAGGAAAGUGAUGGAAGCUAUUACAAAACCAUUUCAUGAAAUCCAUGGAGUGCCUCUUAUUUAGCUGUGAGUGCAAAUCUACUUGACAAAGCCAAAAAUUAAUCUGAGAUCAUUAUGUUGGCUCUAAUACAUAAUGAAAAGGAACAUGGAACUGAAAAAUACCUUAUUGAAAAUGUCACUUAACAGGUAAAGAGCAGGGGAAUCCUAUUAAUUUCUGUAUGGUUCAAAAAUUGGUAGUUGCAGGAAACCUUGUCGAUUAAGUACUGGAGCAGGCUGUACAUUAAUUGAAGACGAAGAGGAAGAAGAAAAAGAACGAAUCCAUGCUGUAUAACGUGUUGAAGUGGUGGUCAGCAAAGGGAUUAAUACUGACUGUGUUUUAACCCGAUGGUGUGUUUUACGUCGACCGUUUGGAGAAGAUGGCCUUCAUCAUCGUGCCAUUUCAGUCCAAUUUUCCCAUAUGUAACUGAAUAAUUAUCUUGUCAUUGUGGAGCCGAUCAUAUGUUAGUAAGCCGAUGCCCAUAGGUUUAAUAUUUCUGCAUAAGGGAGGCAUUUAUGAAAAAAGUGGCCGUGAUGCUAUGUACGCUAGCUUUUAAUUAAGGCCAUGGAUGGUAAUUGUUUACAAAAUCCAUUUUUCCAUGUUGGUAUGAAUUUCGGUAUAGGCUUGGGACAUGUUAUUUGUUUUUUUUUUUUUGUUUUGGUUUGUUUUUUGUUUUUUGUUCUUGU
RNAcentral lists this unclassified non-coding RNA (1474 nucleotides) under Daphnia magna. RNAcentral describes it as "uncharacterized LOC116920402, transcript variant X1". The record is from RNAcentral. Lineage: Eukaryota; Metazoa; Arthropoda; Branchiopoda; Diplostraca; Daphniidae.